GGCGGCGUAGCCAAGUGGCUAAGGCAGAGGACUGCAAAUCCUCGAUCACCGGUUCGAAUCCGGUCGCCGCCUCCA
RNAcentral lists this transfer RNA (75 nucleotides) under Candidatus Effluviviaceae Genus IV sp. RNAcentral's name for it is "tRNA-Cys". It matches the Rfam family "tRNA". From Rfam's summary of the family: Transfer RNA (tRNA) molecules are approximately 80 nucleotides in length. The record is from RNAcentral. Lineage: Bacteria; Candidatus Effluviviacota; Candidatus Effluviviaceae.